RNAcentral lists this ribosomal RNA (164 nucleotides) under Primula egaliksensis. Its description in RNAcentral is "5.8S ribosomal RNA". It matches the Rfam family "5.8S ribosomal RNA". From Rfam's summary of the family: 5.8S ribosomal RNA (5.8S rRNA) is a component of the large subunit of the eukaryotic ribosome. Lineage: Eukaryota; Viridiplantae; Streptophyta; Magnoliopsida; Ericales; Primulaceae. The record is from RNAcentral.
AAACGACUCUCGGCAACGGAUAUCUAGGCUCUCGCAUCGAUGAAGAACGUAGCAAAAUGCGAUACUUGGUGUGAAUAGCAGAAUCCCGUGAACCAUCGAGUUUUUGAACGCAAGCUGCGCCCGAAGCCAUUAGGCUGAGGGCACGUCUGCCUGGGCGUCUCAUA